AGCUUUCCGAAUCCGUGCUGAGAUUUCGUCCGAUACCAACCCAUUAGGGCUGAUCAGACUCAUCAUUCAGAUAGCU
This 76-nucleotide microRNA precursor is filed under the name Schistosoma curassoni. RNAcentral's name for it is "mir-3492 microRNA precursor family". It matches the Rfam family "mir-3492 microRNA precursor family". Lineage: Eukaryota; Metazoa; Platyhelminthes; Trematoda; Strigeidida; Schistosomatidae. The record is from Rfam by way of RNAcentral.